CGUAGGGUGCGAGCGUUAAUCGGAAUUACUGGGCGUAAAGCGUGCGCAGGCGGUUUUGUAAGACAGGCGUGAAAUCCCCGGGCUUAACCUGGGAACUGCGUUUGUGACUGCAAGGCUAGAGUACGGCAGAGGGGGGUGGAAUUCCACGUGUAGCAGUGAAAUGCGUAGAGAUGUGGAGGAACACCAAUGGCGAAGGCAGCCCCCUGGGUCGAUACUGACGCUCAUGCACGAAAGCGUGGGUAGCAAACAGGAUUAGAUACCCUGGUAGUCCACGCCCUAAACGAUGUCAACUAGGUGUUGGGUGGGUAAAACCAUUUAGUACCGUAGCUAACGCGAGAAGUUGACCGCCUGGGGAGUACGGCCGCAAGGUUA
This 372-nucleotide ribosomal RNA is filed under the name uncultured organism. Its description in RNAcentral is "bacterial SSU rRNA". It matches the Rfam family "Bacterial small subunit ribosomal RNA", at positions 526 to 896 of the family's 1533-position model. The record is from RNAcentral.